RNAcentral lists this ribosomal RNA (486 nucleotides) under uncultured bacterium. Its description in RNAcentral is "bacterial SSU rRNA". It matches the Rfam family "Bacterial small subunit ribosomal RNA", at positions 43 to 524 of the family's 1533-position model. The record is from RNAcentral.
CAGGCCUAACACAUGCAAGUCGAGCGGAUGACGGGAGCUUGCUCCUUGAUUCAGCGGCGGACGGGUGAGUAAUGCCUAGGAAUCUGCCUGGUAGUGGGGGACAACGUUUCGAAAGGAACGCUAAUACCGCAUACGUCCUACGGGAGAAAGCAGGGGACCUUCGGGCCUUGCGCUAUCAGAUGAGCCUAGGUCGGAUUAGCUUGUUGGUGAGGUAAUGGCUCACCAAGGCGACGAUCCGUAACUGGUCUGAGAGGAUGAUCAGUCACACUGGAACUGAGACACGGUCCAGACUCCUACGGGAGGCAGCAGUGGGGAAUAUUGGACAAUGGGCGAAAGCCUGAUCCAGCCAUGCCGCGUGUGUGAAGAAGGUCUUCGGAUUGUAAAGCACUUUAAGUUGGGAGGAAGGGUUGUAGAUUAAUACUCUGCAAUUUUGACGUUACCGACAGAAUAAGCACCGGCUAACUCUGUGCCAGCAGCCGCGGUAAU